UCAGUCAGAGCGUAUUGUCUCCGUAGUUUCCGCAUUAUUUAACGUUAAAGAUCGCGUCGUGCGCGUAAAUGAUAAUCAAAAGUGUCGGAAAAAGGGUUGGACGAUAAUCGGGAGAUAUAAAUUAUCGCGUGCGAUCAUUAUUCGUCGUGUUUUUUCGAUAUUCCGUUUCGUACGAUCGCAGCAACUUGAACUUGACGGUAGGGCCCUCUCGCGAGGAGUGAAGUAGCGCGCAUGAGCGGCCGCCAUUUUCAUCACGAUCUUCGCGCGCUCGCCGCAUCGCUGUGUUGACUCGGAGUCCGUCGUCCUCGUAGUUUUCGUAUUAUUUAACGCUUAAAAUCGUGUUGCGCGCGUAAACGUUAAUCGGAAAUGUCGGAAAAAGUAUCGGGCGAUUGUCGGAAGGUAUCAGUUAUCGUGUGAUCGUCAUUUGCCGUGUGCUUUUCCGAUUCGUGCGAUUCGAGGCGAGUAGCAAGCGUUUUCGACGUGACUUUGGCACGAUGCUCUUUCGAAGCGCAGCGUAUUGUCUUCACAGUUUUCGCAUUAUUUAACAUUUAAGAUCGCGUUGUGCGCGUAAACGAUAAUCGGAAGCGUCGAGAAAAGUAUCGGGCGAGUGUCGGAAAGUGUCACGAACAGACAUUUGUUUGCGCUUUUUGCAUGAUCGGAGCGACACCACUUGAACAACAAUCGAGAGGGGGUGGCCGUGACGAGGUGCGAUAUAAUUCGACAAUGUAAAAUUCGAGAGUGCUGUUAAAAGUAUUGCGUGUACAAGUGCGGGAGUGCCGUUAAAAAUAUCGCGCGUUAUCAAUUGUUAAUUAAUAGACUUUGAUAACCCUGACAACCUGAGAGGAGUAGGAGAGGCAUUGGGUAUCAGCGGAGCAACCCUAGGAUAACGUAGCAUCGAUAUCAACAACUUCGCUGUUGCGCAAUGGUGUUGGUGAGUGACAAACUUUUAUUUAAUUUUGUAGUAGCGAAUUUGUAGAAAUUGUAGAUGUAGAUUGUAGAUUAUAAAUUGUAAAUAAAUCUAUUGCCUUACAAUGGAUGAUUCAAUUUAUC
Molecule: non-coding RNA, 1050 nt
Organism: Nylanderia fulva
Lineage: Eukaryota; Metazoa; Arthropoda; Insecta; Hymenoptera; Formicidae
Source: RefSeq, a predicted model, not a curated record